AUUGAACGCUGGCGGCAGGCCUAACACAUGCAAGUCGAGCGGAUGAAGGGAGCUUGCUCCUGGAUUCAGCGGCGGACGAGUGAGUAAUGCAUAGGAAUCUGCCUGGUAGUGGGGGAUAACGUCCGGAAACGGGCGCUAAUACCGCAUAGGUCCUGAGGGAGAAAGAGGGGGAUCUGCGGACCUCACGCUAUCAGCUGAGCCUAGGUCGGAUUAGCUAGUUGGUGGGGUAAAGGCCUACCAAGGCGACGAUCCGUAACUGGUCUGAGAGGAUGAUCAGUCAAACUGGAACUGAGACACGGUCCAGACUCCUACGGGAGGAAGCAGUGGGGAAUAUUGGACAAUGGGCGAAAGCCUAAUCCAGCCCUGCCGCGUGUGUGAAGAAGGUCUUCGGAUUGUAAAGCACUUUAGGUUGGGAGGAAGGGCAGUAAGUUAAUACCUUGCUGUAUUGACGGUACCAACAGAAUAAGCACCGGCUAACUUCGUG
Molecule: ribosomal RNA, 484 nt
Filed under: uncultured bacterium
Lineage: Bacteria
Description: partial 16S ribosomal RNA
Rfam family: Bacterial small subunit ribosomal RNA
Source: RNAcentral